AGCAGUAGCCGCGGUAAUACGUAGGUGGCAAGCGUUGUCCGGAAUUAUUGGGCGUAAAGGGCUCGCAGGCGGUUUCUUAAGUCUGAUGUGAAAGCCCCCGGCUCAACCGGGGAGGGUCAUUGGAAACUGGGAAACUUGAGUGAGAAGAGGAGAGUGGAAUUCCACGUGUAGCGGUGAAAUGCGUAGAGAUGUGGAGGAACACCAGUGGCGAAGGCGACUCUCUGGUCUGUAACUGACGCUGAGGAGCGAAAGCGUGGGGAGCGAACAGGAUUAGAUACCCCUGUAGUCCCUGUCUCUUAUACA
This 303-nucleotide ribosomal RNA is filed under the name uncultured bacterium. Its description in RNAcentral is "partial 16S ribosomal RNA". It matches the Rfam family "Bacterial small subunit ribosomal RNA", at positions 507 to 808 of the family's 1533-position model. The record is from RNAcentral.